GCUUUCGCACCUCAGUGUCAGUAUCAGUCCAGGUGGUCGCCUUCGCCACUGGUGUUCCUUCCUAUAUCUACGCAUUUCACCGCUACACAGGAAAUUCCACCACCCUCUACCAUACUCUAGCUUGUCAGUUUUGAAUGCAGUUCCCAGGUUGAGCCCGGGGAUUUCACAUCCAACUUAACAAACCACCUACGCGCGCUUUACGCCCAGUAAUUCCGAUUAACGCUUGCACCCUCUGUAUUACCGCGGCUGCUGGCACAGAGUUAGCCGGUGCUUAUUCUGUCGGUAACGUCAAAACAGCAAAGUAUUAAUUUACUGCCCUUCCUCCCAACUUAAAGUGCUUUACAAUCCGAAGACCUUCUUCACACACGCGGCAUGGCUGGAUCAGGCUUUCGCCCAUUGUCCAAUAUUCCCCACUGCUGCCUCCCGUAGGAGUCUGGACCGUGUCUCAGUUCCAGUGUGACUGAUCAUCCUCUCAGACCAGUUACGGAUCGUCGCCUUGGUGAGCCAUUACCUCACCAACUAGCUAAUCCGACCUAGGCUCAUCUGAUAGCGCAAGGCCCGAAGGUCCCCUGCUUUCUCCCGUAGGACGUAUGCGGUAUUAGCGUCCCUUUCGAGACGUUGUCCCCCACUACCAGGCAGAUUCCUAGGCAUUACUCACCCGUCCGCCGCUGAAUCAGAGAGCAAGCUCUCAUCAUCCGCUCGACUUGCAUGUGUUAGGCCUGCCGCCAGCGUUCAAU
Molecule: ribosomal RNA, 737 nt
Filed under: Pseudomonas umsongensis
Lineage: Bacteria; Pseudomonadati; Pseudomonadota; Gammaproteobacteria; Pseudomonadales; Pseudomonadaceae
Description: partial 16S rRNA
Source: RNAcentral